GUGCCAGCCGCCGCGGUAAUACGGAGGAUCCGAGCGUUAUCCGGAAUCAUUGGGUUUAAAGGGUCCGUAGGCGGGCCGUUAAGUCAGGGGUGAAAGUCUGCGGCUCAACCGUAGAAUUGCCCUUGAUACUGGUGGCCUUGAGUUAUGGUGAAGUAGCUAGAAUAUGUAGUGUAGCGGUGAAAUGCAUAGAUAUUACAUAGAAUACCGAUUGCGAAGGCAGGCUACUAACCAUAUACUGACGCUGAUGGACGAAAGCGUGGGUAGCGAACAGGAUUAGAUACCCUGGUAGUCCACGCCGUAAACGAUGGAUACUAGCUGUCCGGAUGCAAAUCUGGGCGGCCAAGCGAAAGUGAUAAGUAUCCCACCUGGGGAGUACGUCCGCAAGGAUGAAACUCAAAGGAAUCGACGGGGGCCCGCACAAGCGGUGGAGCAUGUGGUUUAAUUCGAUGAUACGCGAGGAACCUUACCAGGGCUUAAAUGUAGGUUGACAGGUUUAGAGAUAGACUUUUCUUCGGACAAUCUACAAGGUGCUGCAUGGUUGUCGUCAGCUCGUGCCGUGAGGUGUCAGGUUAAGUCCUAUAACGAGCGCAACCCCUGCCGUUAGUUGCCAGCAUGUCAUGAUGGGGACUCUAACGGGACUGCCGGUGCAAACCGCGAGGAAGGUGGGGAUGACGUCAAAUCAUCACGGCCCUUACGUCCUGGGCCACACACGUGCUACAAUGGCCGGUACAGAGAGCAGCCACUCCGCAAGGGGGAGCGAAUCUAUAAAACCGGUCACAGUUCGGAUCGGGGUCUGCAACUCGACCCCGUGAAGCUGGAAUCGCUAGUAAUCGGAUAUCAGCCAUGAUCCGGUGAAUACGUUCCCGGGCCUUGUACACACCGCCCGUCAAGCCAUGGAAGCCGGGAGUGCCUGAAGUCCGUCACCGCAAGGAGCGGCCUAGGGCAAGAUCGGUAACUAGGGCUAAGUCGUAACAAGGUAACC
RNAcentral lists this ribosomal RNA (982 nucleotides) under uncultured bacterium. Its description in RNAcentral is "bacterial SSU rRNA". It matches the Rfam family "Bacterial small subunit ribosomal RNA", at positions 505 to 1501 of the family's 1533-position model. The record is from RNAcentral.